GAUGAACGCUGACAGAAUGCUUAACACAUGCAAGUCAACUUGAAUUUGGGUUUUUAACUUCGGUUUGGGUGGCGGACGGGUGAGUAACGCGUAAAGAACUUGCCUCACAGCUAGGGACAACAUUUGGAAACGAAUGCUAAUACCUAAUAUUAUGAUAAUAGGGCAUCCUAUAAUUAUGAAAGCUAUAAGCGCUGUGAGAGAGCUUUGCGUCCCAUUAGCUAGUUGGAGAGGUAACGGCUCACCAAGGCGUGGAUGGGUAGCCGGUCUGAGAGGGUGAUCGGCCACAAGGGGACUGAGACACGGCCCUUACGCCUACGGGAGGCAGCAGUGGGGAAUAUUGGACAAUGGACCGAGAGUCUGAUCCAGCAAUUCUGUGUGCACGAUGAAGUUUUUCGGAAUGUAAAGUGCUUUCAGUUGGGAAGAAACAAAUGACGGUACCAACAGAAGAAGUGACGGCUAAAUACGUG
RNAcentral lists this ribosomal RNA (467 nucleotides) under uncultured bacterium. RNAcentral's name for it is "partial 16S ribosomal RNA". It matches the Rfam family "Bacterial small subunit ribosomal RNA", at positions 28 to 507 of the family's 1533-position model. The record is from RNAcentral.